This 302-nucleotide unclassified non-coding RNA is filed under the name Hevea brasiliensis (rubber tree). Lineage: Eukaryota; Viridiplantae; Streptophyta; Magnoliopsida; Malpighiales; Euphorbiaceae. The record is from RNAcentral.
UACUGAAUUUUUUGCAUCAGACAUAAUUCAGAGAACUGAUUAAAAGAAAUAGUAGGCAAAAGACAAAUACUCAAAAAUAAAAUUACAAACCAAGAGAUAGGAAUGGGCUAGGCAGAGGCGCAGUACACUAGGGAUGUCGUCGAAAAAAAAGUGCGGUCGGAAAAACUGACCAGGAACAGGCUCACUACCUGGCAUGUGUACAAGAGCCGGAAACCUUCUGUCGACGCGUGGGAUCAUGUAUCUCACUGGAUGGCAGCGAGAAUCCAGGCGAGGACUAGCGAUGAGGUUUUCUUCCUUCCUAA